UUGACGGGACCCGCACAAGCGGUGGAUGAUGUGGAUUAAUUCGAUGCAACGCGAAAACCUUACCUACCCUUGACAUGUCCGGAAUCCCGAAGAGAUUUGGGAGUGCUCGCAAGAGAACCGGAACACAGGUGCUGCAUGGCUGUCGUCAGCUCGUGUCGUGAGAUGUUGGGUUAAGUCCCGCAACGAGCGCAACCCUUGUCAUUAGUUGCCAUCAUUUGGUUGGGCACUCUAAUGAGACUGCCGGUGACAAACCGGAGGAAGGUGGGGAUGACGUCAAGUCCUCAUGGCCCUUAUGGGUAGGGCUUCACACGUCAUACAAUGGUCGGUACAGAGGGUUGCCAACCCGCGAGGGGGAGCUAAUCCCACAAAGCCGAUCGUAGUCCGGAUCGCAGUCUGCAACUCGACUGCGUGAAGUCGGAAUCGCUAGUAAUCGCGGAUCAGCAUGUCGCGGUGAAUACGUUCCCGGGCCUU
RNAcentral lists this ribosomal RNA (471 nucleotides) under uncultured Rhodocyclaceae bacterium. RNAcentral describes it as "bacterial SSU rRNA". It matches the Rfam family "Bacterial small subunit ribosomal RNA", at positions 910 to 1382 of the family's 1533-position model. The record is from RNAcentral. Lineage: Bacteria; Pseudomonadati; Pseudomonadota; Betaproteobacteria; Rhodocyclales; Rhodocyclaceae.